Molecule: long non-coding RNA, 767 nt
Organism: Cucumis sativus (cucumber)
Lineage: Eukaryota; Viridiplantae; Streptophyta; Magnoliopsida; Cucurbitales; Cucurbitaceae
Exons: 3
Source: RefSeq, a predicted model, not a curated record
GAACUCCUUGUAGUAAAAUUCGACUUGCGCAAUGACGGUGAACGCCUCUGACAACCCGAUCAGCGUCAAUUGAGGGACCAACCAGAGUGCUGACAUGGAAGAAAUUGAACCCCUUCUCCCUGUUUCUUCGCACAAUGGCUGUGAGCGUAAUGCCGCCUUCUCUGGCUGUGAUUCGGCGGAGAGAAGGGACUAAGAUACGAUCGUAGAAAGGGAUCCAGAUGGUGAGGCCAAUCAUGGUGAAUAUUGUGUAAGAAGCGGCUGGGAUUUUGAAAUAAUGGGUGUUUCCAAAGAAUAAACGCCUAUCGGAUUGGAGGGCUUGAAAUACAGCGUAUGUUUGUUGCUGUGUGGUAGCGACAUGGUAGAUUAUGGCUGCACCCCAUAUUGGGAAGCCAGUUAAUGGCAAAGCCCUUCACUGUGAUGGAAGGUACAGCAGGCUGUGAAAAUGCUAUUCCUGGCCUGAAGAUACAGCAAUUCAUUGCCUCUCAACGUUUCAAAAGUGCUGAAUUGAUUAGACAGCUUUGGUUUAGUACAAAAAAGCACCGUUCUUUUUAUUUUAUCUGUAUAUUUUUUAAUUUUGAAACAGUUGCAUGUAGCAUUCAAUCAGCUCAUAGAACUGCUUUAGAUUAAUGAUGUGUACAUCAGAAUUUGAAUUUGAGAGACUUCAUAAAUGCCUGCCUGAGUUUUGUGAAGCACAUAAAGUGCCAUAUUUCCAAGAGGUUGAUGGUCCCAAACAGAGAAAUUGAUCCAAUAAAUUGUCUCUUGUUGUA